RNAcentral lists this ribosomal RNA (492 nucleotides) under uncultured bacterium. RNAcentral's name for it is "partial 16S ribosomal RNA". It matches the Rfam family "Bacterial small subunit ribosomal RNA", at positions 29 to 507 of the family's 1533-position model. The record is from RNAcentral.
AGUGAACGCUGGCGGUAGGCCUAACACAUGCAAGUCGAACGGCAGCACAGUAAGAGCUUGCUCUUACGGGUGGCGAGUGGCGGACGGGUGAGGAAUACAUCGGAAUCUACUUUUUCGUGGGGGAUAACGUAGGGAAACUUACGCUAAUACCGCAUACGACCUACGGGUGAAAGCAGGGGAUCUUCGGACCUUGCGCGAUUGAAUGAGCCGAUGUCGGAUUAGCUAGUUGGCGGGGUAAAGGCCCACCAAGGCGACGAUCCGUAGCUGGUCUGAGAGGAUGAUCAGCCACACUGAAACUGAGACACGGUCCAGACUCCUACGGGAGGCAGCAGUGGGGAAUAUUGGACAAAGGGCGCAAGCCUGAUCCAGCCAUACCGCGUGGGUGAAGAAGGCCUUCGGGUUGUAAAGCCCUUUUGUUGGGAAAGAAAAGCAGCAGGUUAAUACCCCGCUGUUCUGACGGUACCCAAAGAAUAAGCACCGGCUAACUUCGUG